RNAcentral lists this transfer RNA (82 nucleotides) under Candidatus Sungiibacteriota bacterium. RNAcentral's name for it is "tRNA-Leu". It matches the Rfam family "tRNA". From Rfam's summary of the family: Transfer RNA (tRNA) molecules are approximately 80 nucleotides in length. Their secondary structure includes four short double-helical elements and three loops (D, anti-codon, and T loops). Further hydrogen bonds mediate the characteristic L-shaped molecular structure. tRNAs have two regions of fundamental functional importance: the anti-codon, which is responsible for specific mRNA codon recognition, and the 3' end, to which the tRNAs corresponding amino acid is attached (by aminoacyl-tRNA synthetases). tRNAs cope with the degeneracy of the genetic code in two manners: having more than one tRNA (with a specific anti-codon) for a particular amino acid; and 'wobble' base-pairing, i.e. permitting non-standard base-pairing at the 3rd anti-codon position. Lineage: Bacteria; Candidatus Sungiibacteriota. The record is from RNAcentral.
GCCUCUGUGGCGGAACUGGAAUACGCGCGCGGCUUAGAACCGCGUGGGGAAACCCUUACAGGUUCAAAUCCUGUCAGAGGCA